RNAcentral lists this ribosomal RNA (405 nucleotides) under uncultured bacterium. RNAcentral's name for it is "partial 16S ribosomal RNA". It matches the Rfam family "Bacterial small subunit ribosomal RNA", at positions 29 to 526 of the family's 1533-position model. The record is from RNAcentral.
AUUGAACGCUGGCGGCAGGCCUAACACAUGCAAGUCGAGCGAGCGGCGGACGGGUGAGUAAUGUCUGGGCAACUGCCGGAUGGCGGGGGAUCACUACUGGAAACGGUAGCUAAUACCGCAUACCCUCAGAUGUGCCCAGAUGGGAUGAGCGAGUAGGUGGGGUAACGGCUCACCUAGGCGACGACCCCUAGCUGGUCUGCGAGGAUGACCAGCCCCACUGGAACUGAGACACGGUCCAGACGCCUACGUGAGGCAGCAGGGGGGAAUAUUGCACUAUAGGAGCAAGCCUGACGCAGACAUGCAGCGUGUGGAAAGAAGGCCGUCGGGUUGUAAAGCAUGGUCAGCGGGGAGGCGUGACCCGCAGAAGAAGCAACGGCUAACUCCGUGCCAGCCGCCGCGUAAUUC